CUGCCUCUGUGCCACAUCAUAGGGACUCCGCUGUGGUGGCGAGGAGGGAGAUGUUCACAGAUGCUGAGUCAUUUGAAAAUAGAGACAAUGCUGGGGAUGGGGUGCAAUGAGAAAUGCUCAUUUCAAGUGCUGGAGAGAAGACUCAGCGUUACAAGUCCUGCCUGUUCUUGAAGAGGACCUGGGCUUGAUUUCCAGCACCCAUAUCA
Molecule: long non-coding RNA, 206 nt
Filed under: Mus caroli (Ryukyu mouse)
Lineage: Eukaryota; Metazoa; Chordata; Mammalia; Rodentia; Muridae
Description: predicted gene 16235 (MGP_CAROLIEiJ_G0002543.1)
Source: RNAcentral